GAUUCCGUAGCUCAGUUGGUAGAGCGGGGGAUUCUUAAUCCACCGGUCGUAGGUUCGAGUCCUACCGGAAUCA
RNAcentral lists this transfer RNA (73 nucleotides) under Streptomyces spectabilis. RNAcentral's name for it is "tRNA-Lys". It matches the Rfam family "tRNA". From Rfam's summary of the family: Transfer RNA (tRNA) molecules are approximately 80 nucleotides in length. Their secondary structure includes four short double-helical elements and three loops (D, anti-codon, and T loops). Lineage: Bacteria; Bacillati; Actinomycetota; Actinomycetes; Kitasatosporales; Streptomycetaceae. The record is from RNAcentral.